GCACCUGCAAAAUCAGGUGUCAGGAUUGGCGUCCUGAUACACACAUAGGGAAAGAUAUUGCUCACAGCAAUGUCACU
Molecule: small RNA, 77 nt
Filed under: Enterobacter ludwigii
Lineage: Bacteria; Pseudomonadati; Pseudomonadota; Gammaproteobacteria; Enterobacterales; Enterobacteriaceae
Description: isrK
Rfam family: isrK Hfq binding RNA
Source: RNAcentral